UGUCAACUAUUCUAGUGGUCAUUAUGC
Molecule: non-coding RNA, 27 nt
Filed under: Mus musculus (house mouse)
Lineage: Eukaryota; Metazoa; Chordata; Mammalia; Rodentia; Muridae
Source: RNAcentral